GUCUACGACCAUGCCACUCUGAACACACCCAAUCCUGGCUCAUCUUGGAAGCUAAGCAGAGUUGGGCCUGGUUGGUACUUGGUCGAGAGACCACCUAGGAAGAUUGGGUGCAGUAAGCG
This is a ribosomal RNA of Pteropus vampyrus (large flying fox), 119 nucleotides long. The record is from Ensembl. NCBI's taxonomy places the organism in Eukaryota, Metazoa, Chordata, Mammalia, Chiroptera, Pteropodidae.